UCAUAUUACAUGUUUUGUGCGUGAAUCUAAUUCGAAGGCUUAUUAUCAUAUCCGAUUUUGUUGUUGUUGGAUUAGAUUCACGCACAAACUCGUAAUCUGUCU
This 102-nucleotide microRNA precursor is filed under the name Eutrema salsugineum. RNAcentral's name for it is "MIR403 microRNA precursor family". It matches the Rfam family "MIR403 microRNA precursor family". The record is from Rfam by way of RNAcentral. Lineage: Eukaryota; Viridiplantae; Streptophyta; Magnoliopsida; Brassicales; Brassicaceae.